UCCUUGCUCAGGCCCUUUCGGUAUACUUCCUCCUUGUCCCGUGGAUGUCUGAAUGAGGACAGGUGACUUUGGAAUGAAGGGAAUAUGAGUGUUUUAUUAAAGACUUUCUUUUGCUAUGAAUCAAUAACUGCAGGGCCAGGUAGUCUGAGCCCCUGGUCGAUGGGUAGGUUCUUGGGACUCUAAAGCCUUCAAGAAGUCAGAUUAGCAGUCCUUACAUGAAGCGCCCAGCGCAGCCCAAGCCCCACUGCCUGCGUGGAGCAGGCCAGAGCCUGGAGACUGCAGUCCCGCUGGCCUGACUGCCAGGACCCCGGCCGGAGCGGAGGGAGGCGCCGGCUGCAGAUGCGGUGCACCGAAAGCCCGGAGCCGGCGGCUUGUGAGCCCGCACCCAGGCCGGGCGCAGCGGGGACACUCCCAAGCGAGCCCAGGCGAGCCCAAUGCGUCCCCAUGCGCCCCGAGGCUCACCCACUCUCUCUCGCCUGUUAUGAAGCCUGUCGGGGACCACCGCGCGCGUGUGGACAGCGGGGCUCUCCUCGCACUGACAGCAGCUUCCUGCGGCAGCUUCACAGAGCCUCGUGGAGAAGCUUACAAACGCGCAGCCCUGGGCCACCUGCAGUAUGGGUCGCCUGGAGUCGGAGCCUGGAAGGAGGUGGAGGGAGGGGCACCGAGAUGCAGGACGAGGGAGCAGCUCAACCUCAUGCGCGCGCGCACACACGCGAGUUUGUCACCUUCUCAGCUGAAACCGGCAGGCAGAAGGGAGGCCGUACAGUCCCAUUCUUCACCUGGACUCGAUCUGUGUCUCCAAAUAGUAACUUGGCUGGGACAGGAAGACCAAGCUACUACAAGCUGGCUGUUUGCAGAAAAACAGGACCAGCCCUUGCCCAUGGGAAAUGCUCGCUGUCUACUGCUCUAGCAUAGUCUUUAAGACCCCACUCACAGCCAAUAGGGCCACAGGUAGGCAAAGGUUUCCAGGUGACGAAGAGCCAAACACCCAGAUUUCAGAGACCUGUGGAAGGCCACAUGGUGAGAGCUCACACCUCUGGAGGGGCCCCGGCUCUCCAUAGGUUGUCUUGGGAUGUGUCUGAUCUGGGUUGCCUGUCCUACCAAACCAGGGGCUCCCCAGGGGCAGGGACUUGUCUUUGCUACUCUUGUCACUUCCAAGUCUAGCACUGGGCCUGGCACAAGGGAGUCUCUCAAUAAGCUUGUCAUUCAGGCAUGAAUCGGCUAGUGACAGAGAUAAGAUUUAAAUCCAAUAGGGAGAAAUGACCAACUCCCCAGAAGAUCAGGACUCCAAGAAGAAGCAUCAAAAGAAGUGGGAGUAGCCAUGGGGUUAUCUAGUCCCGACUCCUCAGUUACAGAAAGUGAAGGGCCAGGGAGCUGAGGCCACUUACUAAAUCCCAUACAGGUCAUUUAAACAGGGCCUAAACUGCUCCCCGGUGGGGAAGGACAGGGAGGCAGCACAGGGGUGCUCCACCGGGAGGUGUGAUUGCAGGCUGCGGGGCACACACAUGCCGCAAAAACAAAAGUGCACGAUUCAACCCACUUCCGCAGCAGCAGUGCAGUGAUGUCUGAGAUCUAAGCAUUGAUGGAUGCCGAGUUUUAAUGACCCAAAUCUCUUCAUCCUCCCUCGCUCACGGAAAGAAGAAAAAAAAAUUUUUUUUCUGGUAUGCUAAUAUCAUCAUAAAAUGCAAUAAAUUUCUAAGCCACACAGAGAUCAUUUGUGCAGCGGGGGGCCAAACACCGUGUUUUUUUUUCCUGGGUCCGAGAAGUGGGCCAAGAAGAACGUGGAUUAUGGGAAGAGGGUGACUAGGUGGGUGCCUGGCACACAGGCCUCCAGGGAGACCCUGAGCUGGCUCCAUCUGCCAGUGGACACUUGUCUUACUGUCCAGACACACCUACUUCACAGGGUUUUUUGUCACUUUUAGAUACUCAAAUGGCUACAUAUGUGUAAGAUAUUAUUAUUCCAGAAUAAAGAUCAAAGAGAGACUAUUGCUGACUGUCCUGGAGUUUUAAAGGCAAAAGUGGUCAAGGCCACUCCUAAGGCAUCUGCAUUCUGCUUUGUUCUAGGGGUGAGGUCUCUUCCCUGACAGGACAUGUACAGUUGUCCCUCCAUAUCCACAGGUUCUGAAUCUGUGGAUUCAACAGACUCCAGAUGGAAAAUAUUUGAAAAACAAAUUGCCUCGGUACUGAACAAGUACAGAUGUAUUUUUUUCUUGUCAUUAUUCCCUAAACAAUACAGCAUAACAACUAUUUACAUAGCAUUUACAUUGUAUUAAGUCUUGUAAGUGAUCUAGAGCUGACUUAAAGUAUACAGUAGGAUAUGCACAGGUUACCAUGAUACCACACCAUUUAAUGUAAGGGACUUGGCACCUGCGGAUUUUGAUAUCCAUGGAGAGUCAUGCUGCCAAUCCCCUGAAGAUACUGAGGGACGACUGUAUUCAUCUUGCUCCUAAUACUAACAUGAGGUCCUCCUAAGCAGAGUCUCCACCCUUCCCCGAGCAGGUGUCUGCCCUGUGGCAGGUUCACGCCAGCUCCAGGGGACAUCUCAAGAUGGUCCGUGCCCUCCUUCCCAUCCCUGCUCGUCACAGUCAGGACAGGGGCCCCUUCUCUCCUUCUCGUGUCUUAGGAAAAGGCCUUUCUCCCCAUUUUGCAGUCUUGAUGCAUGGGGUGACCAAGGCGGAACAGUGAGGGAGGGGACAGGUCCUAUGGGGCUCUGGUGGGAGGAGCCUCAGCCUCUGGAUUCUGCUCAAAGCCAGUGAUUCCCCUGCUCCACCAAGAGUUUUGUAAGCCCCAAGAAUUUGAUGCUGUGACCUAAAGAAAGAGAAAUGUGGGGCCUGGGUCUACUGGCGCUUACUCAGGCCUUCCUUCCCACUUUAUGCCCUGCUGUGCGUGGGGACGGCCGGGUGGAAACUGACUUUUGCAGGCUUCCAUUCCCAGACCUCCCAUGUCAUCUGGCUUGAGUCUGAGUGGUCACCAGAGUUGCUGCAGGAGAUGACAAGGCCAGAGGGAGGAAGGACAGUGUCCCUGACCUCUGCCAUGUCUCCUGGGGGUCCCCCUUCCCAGGGAUACCUCAGGCCAAGAACUUUCAGAACUCCUCUGCCUCACCUGAUCCCUCCACCCUGUGGAUGGAGUGGAAACUGAGAAGCAUGAGGCAGCCUUGCCCAGGCCACGUUAGCACAUAUGGGGAAGAGUCGAGGAGUGGAGGGUUUUCGAGUCACCCUUAUGACAGCCUGUAUGUUGACAGGACCAGUGACAUGCUGGUGCCAGCCACACCCAGGCAGCCCAACAGGAGCAGGGGAAGGGCUCCCCUGGGUGAAGCUGAGAAGAGAGCUGGGAAGAGGAUGGAGUGGAUGGAGUAGACACAUCUUGUCUCAAGGGCUGGAGAGUUUGGAGGCAACUGAAGAGCCACUUGGAAAACGUCCCUCCGAUUGCCAUUGCCGGCAGAUCAGCUCGCUUGUGUGCUGCAGAGGGCUCGUGCACAGAUCUCAAACACUGGGCCUCUUUAAAAUGAAUAUGAAAUGCGCCCGUUUCUAGUAUUUCGUGAGAAGCAUUUAUGAAGGUUGAAGAGCUGUUAUCUGAGAUUCGUAGCCCAAGUCAGUGAGAUAGACUCUCCUAAUUAGUAAGACAAGGAGGACUGGAAAGUUGCUAAAGCUACCUGGCAGGCCUUGGAGCCCGCUGUCACCACCACAAUGACAGUCUUGCCUUCUCUGCUGAGCCUGUUGUACUGUCAGGAUGCAAUUUCUCCUCUCCGAGUGGGUUGGUGGAUGCACUGCCGAUUAGAUGGAAGUGAGUGCAAACCAUGACUCAGGAGGCUCCAGGAGGCUCCAGGAGGCUUCGGGAGGGUGGUGAUUGAUCGAAAAGGAGCCAGGGGGGAUCAAAGAGGAGCCGGAGGACAAGAUGCUCAGUUCAUGCCCAAUGAGUACAGGGAAGGGAGAAGGGAGAGCUUUGCCCCUGCCACGAGCAUAGCCUCUUGCCUUGACUUCCCCAAAGCCCAGGACACUUUCCUUUCUGUCUUCUGAGGGCAUUUCCCACUUGUCCCCAGCCUUUGCGUGACAAGUUCAAUUCUAUAACUUCUCCAUAUUCUUUUAUUGUCCACUCUUGAAUUUUUCUGCAUUCAAACGUGAAUUUUUGCCUCCAUGUCUAAGGCUUAUUUCUAAUCCCUUUGCCCUGCUGGAAAAGCCUUCCCCUCUCCUCUCCUCUCCACUCAUUCAAGUCCUGCUCAUCCUUCCAGGGAUAGCCAGGCUCCUCUUCCAGAAAGCCCCACCCUGCAAUGCUCUCUGACAGCUAAUUACCAGGUUACCUCCAACCCAGAGCUUGCCGCUCUCCCCCACAUGAGGGGUACACUUGUUGGAAGUAAGGUGGAAUGUUCUGCUUCUUUGCACUAGAUGGCACAUUCCUAAUGCAAGGAGAGAGAGAGAGAUCAUACUGAAACCAGGUACUACCUGGCCUUAGGGUAUGUCCACCAUCCUCCCCAGACACUGGUGAAUAAAGAGGGCUUUUAUCUGUUGAGAGCUUCUGAAAGCUGUGUUUUACAUGAAUCAUCUCAUUCAAUCUUUCUAACAGUCCUCUGUACUAGUCUGUUUGUUGCUAUAACAGAGGCUGGGUAAUGUAUAAUGUAUAAAGAAAAGAGGUUUAUUUAGCUCAGUUUGGAGACUGGAAAGUUCAAGAUCGGGUGUCCCCAUCUGUUUGGCCCCUUCGAGGGUCCCCUUAGCUGUGUCACAACAUGGCGGAUGGCAUAUGGUAGGGAGAUCACCUGAUGAGGCAGGAAACCAGAAAGAUUUCAGGGGCCAGGCUUACUCUUUUUAUAGCAAAUUGCUCUUAUGGGAAAAAGCCAAGAUCCCUUCCAAGGGCACAGACCCCAAUGACCUAAUUGCUAUCCACUGAGACAUUCCUCUUAAAGAUGCUGUUAGCACCCAACAUUGUUGCACUAAGGAUCUGGCUUCCUCACACAAACCCUUGUGGGGGACACACGCAAAUCAUUUCCAAACCAUAGCAACUUAAGAGAUAAGUUCUCUUAUUCCCCCCUUUUAUGGAUGAGGAAAGGGAGGCUUAGUGAAUUUAAGAUCACAAUAUAGUUCGGGGCUGAAUCCGAAUUCAGGCCAGGUCUGGCUUAUUCCAGCAUCUUUCCUUAUCCCUUGCACUCAAACACAAGAAACAGGCCAGGGCUGGUCUUUUCUCUGACAUGAGCACCAAGCAAGGGUGUGCUGGCCGCUAGUCCCCUCUUGCUCUCCACCCUAGCACCAGGCACAUGACACAACUACAGUCCCUUGAGACUCUUCCAGGAAGCUGACACUUGCCUUCUUGCUGAAGCAAAGGAGCUGUAUGCUCUAGUGUCAUGGUGACAAAGACUCUGAAAUUGCCAGGUUGAAAGGACACAGGAGGACAGUCCACACAAUGACCUGCAUUUAUGGCUUCUGCAGUAUUGCUGCUAUCGAAGCUGCUCUGGCAAAGGUCCCCAGCGAUUUUCUGAAUGAAGCUACACUCACAUUCAAAUGAAUACUCAUCAUUGGUGUCCCCCAGGAUCCUCUGGAGAAGUCAGUCUUGUGUUCCAGGCAUGCAUCCCAUAUGUGAAAAACACAGGGAACACCUGUGUUCCGGAAUUGUCUCUAUCCCAAGCUAUAGGUCACCAAGAAUCUGCCUAACAACCUCAAAGUCACAUCCUGCCUGAAGAGUUGAUUUCUCCAACCCUUCUUAGGAGUCAGGCUCCCUUCUCUUCUGUAAUUCAUGAACAUGGAAUUGCAUGCCAAUUUGUUGAUUCAUUCAUUCACUUGCUCAUUUCAUUUAUUUAACAAUGAAUCCCUUACUAGAUAAAUACUUACUCUGCUCCAAAUCAACUCUGUAAGGGGCUAGGGCUAAUGUUUGGGUAAGAGUUUCCUCCCACAGAGCAUUCAGGCAGGUCCGUUCCUGCCCUUAACAGACAAGUGAUGGGAAGCAGCCACCGACUCUCCCACCCAGACUGGUCAUCAAGAGGCAGUUCAGUGCAGCCCCCUGCCAUUUAAACCUGCCCCUCAAUUUGAUAGCAUGCUGUCACCCUGGCUAUCAGUUAGUGGCCGGGAAAACUUGGGUGUUUCUUCAAUGGACUGAGUCUAGACUUGUUCACCUUUAAAACGCAGCAGGAAGCCGGGCCUGUCUCAUGGAGAGGUGAGGGUUGAAUGGAACCAUGUGUAGAGAACCUUCAGCGCUUCUGAAACCUGGGUUCUCUGAUCAAGGUCAAGACCCAGGAGCAGGGAGCCACAGAGGGCCACUUGGUGGCCCUUCAGGGUAAGACUUUAGCCUCUAAAUAAUCUGCUGGUCCCCCGAGCAGCAAUGUCAGUAACAGAGACCUGAGACAGAGUGGCCCACUGGGCUGAGACCCUGGCACCAGACACAUCCUAUAGACAGUGGGGAGCACUCAGGCAGCGAUGGGUGGUGGAGGGCAUGGCGCCGUCUGCUGGAACAGGGGUCUGGGGGGAGGGAGAGGUCAGAGGGCACCAGGGAUCUCCCCAGGAUAGGUGCUGCUCAAAUCGAAAAGCAAAAUUGAGGGGUGGGGAGGGACAAGGUCAUCAUUUUAACCCAACUUGUCGGUCCCUAUUUUAUUCCUUGUGGCCUUUAUUUCUUUCUUUUAAAAAAUCCUCCCAAGUUGCUAGGUCCUGAGGAAACACCUAGUAUAUUUUUAUAACAUUUACCAAAUGAAGUUUUAUGAUGUUCUCAUUUAUAUUUUAUUCUUUUGGAAAAUAAAGUUCUCUGAAAUACCUCUGGAGGAUGUACACUUGUACACACACACACUCACACACACACACACACACACCUGCUAGCCGUAGUUGCUUUGGAGGUGGAGAACCGGGUGGAAGGGAGCCUGGAUUUUC
This is a long non-coding RNA of Marmota monax (woodchuck), 6842 nucleotides long. RefSeq lists it as uncharacterized. The transcript has 4 exons. The record is from RefSeq and is a predicted model, not a curated record. Lineage: Eukaryota; Metazoa; Chordata; Mammalia; Rodentia; Sciuridae.